Long non-coding RNA from Cervus elaphus (red deer), 1655 nucleotides. RefSeq lists it as uncharacterized. The record is from RefSeq and is a predicted model, not a curated record. The transcript has 2 exons. NCBI's taxonomy places the organism in Eukaryota, Metazoa, Chordata, Mammalia, Artiodactyla, Cervidae.
CCGGCCGCGCGGGUCACGUGGGGCCGGUACAAAAGGCCAAAGUGGGAGGCGGCGCCGCGCGCCCGGAGCCCCGGCGGCCGGGGGGCGCCCGUGCGCGGGCCGGGCCGGGCGGCUCCCCUCCCCGGGGCCGGAGCAGCCGCGGCGAGCCCCAUGGCACCGCCGGGGGAGCGGAGGGCCGCGCCCGGGCGGGGAGGCUUCGGGGCGGCGCGGAAAUCCGGUGAAGUCCUACAAGACAACGGAACCUGUGGAUUGGUGUUCACUCACCAUCCUGCGUCACACCACCUCCCUGCAUUCCUCGGACCAGUUCUCAACCUCCCACUCCUGGCCCCUCACCCCGCGGGCCUCUCCUCUCCGUCUCCUGUGACUCUGCACCCCUGUCCCCAGUGGGGAGACCCUGGGCGCGUGUGCAGGGGAAGGGGCAUGCUCGCCGUGUGUAUCAGGGCAAAGCAGUGGCCAUCCCAGCACCAGGCUGGCGGCACCUGGACACACUCAGGGGGCACCUUGGCAGCUAUGUGAGCCUCUGGCCCACCCCUGUCCAGGUACUUACUGCGUCAUGGCACAGAAGUAACCAUAUUCUUGUUAUGCAGGCGGGUGACCUGGGGCUGGGCUGGGUCUGAGGCCUCAAGGGAAGGGGAGCUGCCUGGCUUGAGUUCCAGGGAUGCUUGUCGUUGGUUGGCAGGAGUGUAACCUGGCUGCUCUUAGCCUUGUCAUCUGUACAGUCUGACUCCCUCUGUGUGUAUCCAUGUGCCCAAGAGACUGUGACAGUAAGCAGGAAAUAAAGACCACAGGUUAAGAGAGACACCGUGGAAGAAAGAAAAGAGUUCUUCCUGCAUGAUGAACUAGGGACCUGCAUUUUCAUUUUUCAGCAAGCCCUGUAAAUUAUGUACCAAGCUUUCUCCUUCUGUCAGUGAUUCCACCACUCUGAUCAUCCAAGCCAGAAUUCUGGGAAUCAUCACCGACUUUUCCCCUUUUCCUGUCCCCCUAGACGUUUCUAGUGUCUUCAUUUCCAAAUGCCACUGACUUAGUUCAGGUAAGUAAAAGAAAUUUGGAAUGAUCCUGGUUUUGAUUAAGCCACCUGUGUUACCCCCAUCAGAUAGGGAAGAAGGAAGGAAUUCCUGCCUGUCCAGCAGUUAAAACUCCACACUUUCAAUGCAAGGGGCAAGAGUUCAAUUCCUGGUCAGAGAACUAAGAUCUCAUACACCAGUGGCACAACCAAAGGGGGAAAGAAUAGAUAAAGGAUAGGGAAGUAAGAGGAAAAGAGACAACAGCUCAUGCUUAGUUCAUCCUUUCUGUUGUCUGUGUUUGUGGGAAUGACAUCGGUUGGGAAACAGUAAGAGGUAAGGUCUGGGCUUCCCUGGUGGCUCAGUGGUAAAGAAUUCACCUGCCACUGCAGGAGCCACGGGUUCAAUCCCUGGUCCGGGAAGAUCCCACAUUCUGUAACGCAAAUAAGCCCAUGUGCCACAAGUAUUGAGCCUGUGCUCUGGAGCCCAGGAACUGCAACUACUGAAGUCCAUGUGGCCUAGACCCCCUGCUCCAUAGCAAGAGAAGCCCCAACACCGCAGCUAAAGAGUAGCCCCCGCUCACUGCAGUGAGAGAAAGCCCUCGUGCCGCAAUAAAGACCCAGCACAGCCAAAACAAAUAAAUAAAAUUAUUUU